Molecule: ribosomal RNA, 253 nt
Filed under: uncultured bacterium
Lineage: Bacteria
Description: partial 16S ribosomal RNA
Rfam family: Bacterial small subunit ribosomal RNA
Source: RNAcentral
UACGUAGGGGGCAAGCGUUGUCCGGAAUCAUUGGGCGUAAAGCGCGUGUAGGCGGCCCGGUAAGUCCGCUGUGAAAGUCGGGGGCUCAACCCUCGAAUGCCGGUGGAUACUGUCGGGCUAGAGUGCGGGAGAGGCGAGUGGAAUUCCUGGUGUAGCGGUGAAAUGCGCAGAUAUCAGGAGGAACACCAAUGGCGAAGGCAGCUCGCUGGAACGGAACUGACGCUGAGGCGCGAAAGCGUGGGGAGCGAACAGG